AUCUUUGUCCACAGCGGUUCUAGUGAGCAUCGGCUUUCUGUUCAUUUAGUUUGUCAGCCAUGGACAAAACUGUGCUGCUCCUGCUGUACCUGCAGGUUGUUCUGCUCAUCACUGCCUUUCCUUCGGACGCAGCUGGUCAAGUUGUAGUGAAAGGUCCAGAUCAGGUAAAAAGAUCCGCAACAGCAAUCAAACAGGUGGCAAACAGGAUGGUCAACCCAUCAAAGCAAAAACCACAGAAGAGAAAUUGUUCCUCGAGACCUGGAGGGUGCAGCAUAGGCCAGUAGUUUACCCAUCAUACAUUGCUGCAACCAGAAACUCCUUCCUGCAUUUUUCCAUUGACCUGGGUGCUUCAAUAAUCGACGCAUAUAAACUAUCACAACAACAGAUUCUCUGCAAACAUGUUGCAACAUUGCAGUUGGUGCAGCAGUCACCUCGCAUACAUGACCAAAAUAGACAGAUGUUUGAGCCAGCUCACUAGAUUUCUCUGAGAAGUCAGAAAUUAAACACAAAUAACAUUUAACCACUAAAACUAAUUUCGGAAGUAAAUAUAAGGCGGAGUAUUAGGGCCACAUUAGGAAAAUAAAAUAUUUUGAUCAAUUUGAGAAUAAAGUCAAAAUUUCAAGAUUAAAUUUGAAAAUCUAUUUUGAGCAAAGCAUCGAAAUGUUGUUGUUUCAAGACAAACUGCCAUGUUUCUUAUACCCUCUACAAAAUGCCUUGUGUAGAUGAGUUAGCCAUUUCAAAUUGUACAAAUCCACUCUUCCAAGUUUGUGUUUUUCCGUCUGACCAGAUGCAGCUUUCUGCACCAUCAUUUCAACAUCCUUUUACUUAUCACCAUAAUAUGUUUGUGUGCUAAAAGAGAAAUCAUUUCCUUCCUUGUUACUUAAGCCAAUUCUGAAGUGCAAUUUCACUCAGAGGGUACAGCAACCAUGGCUGAUUGUCUUGAAACAAAAUAGAAUUACAAUAUUAUUCUCAAAAUGAUCAUUAAUAUUUUUUUUAACCUUUAUCAAGGUUAUUUAUACUUUGUAUAAAUAACCUUGGCAUCUUAAUUUUUUUUUUAAAAUCCUAAAGCACUUAACUGUUUUCAGGUUUUUUUUGGUAAAACUAUGAAUUUGAAAAAUCGUAGAUAACAACAAUAAUUAUUUUUAUGUUAUAAAAAUGUAUAAACAUUGCAUGUUGGAGGAUUAACCACAGGAACAUACAAAGUGGUUUUGCUAAUUACCAGUACUGUGUAUUUAGGGCAGCUGUGGCGUAAACCUUCCACUGGAUAGUAAUAAUAAUUUUGUUAAGUACUGCAUGUGCUGAGUAUGAACUGGACUAAUAAAAUAUUUAAUGCACUUCA
This is a long non-coding RNA of Oreochromis aureus, 1339 nucleotides long. RefSeq lists it as uncharacterized. NCBI's taxonomy places the organism in Eukaryota, Metazoa, Chordata, Actinopteri, Cichliformes, Cichlidae. The transcript is spliced from 3 exons. The record is from RefSeq and is a predicted model, not a curated record.